This is a long non-coding RNA of Tupaia belangeri chinensis (Chinese tree shrew), 2053 nucleotides long. RefSeq lists it as uncharacterized. NCBI's taxonomy places the organism in Eukaryota, Metazoa, Chordata, Mammalia, Scandentia, Tupaiidae. The transcript is spliced from 3 exons. The record is from RefSeq and is a predicted model, not a curated record.
CUACACCUUGGCCCUGCCACGCGCGCGGAGCCCUAACCUCGUGGGAGUUCCUCCUAAUCUCGCGGGAUUUCGGCCGUGGGCCAGCCUCUGCGCUCACCUGGAGCUUCAGUUCCCACUAACACCCUGGGCUCAGCCUUGGGAGUCUCCAGGUCUCGCGAGAACGGGGCUCUCGCGCUCUGCCAGCUGUGAGGCCUUCACUGCCGACCUAGGCCUGAGUCUCCUGUACCCUCCAAGCCUUCGCUCUCUUUAUUUCUUUGAACGCUCUUUCUCUUUCGGUCCCGGGCAUGGAAACACCCCGGGCCCUGUCCUGUCUACGCUUCCGUGUGCAGCUCCCGGAAACUGGAAGCAGGCCUGAGGGGCCGUGAGAGGGCGCAGGAUCGCGGGACCGCGGGCAGCCAUCUUGAAUGAGGUCUAGGGGGAAGUUGCAGAUCUAGGCUCAACCAGCUUUUAGUGAGCAGGUGAUGACAUGGUGACGUCGAUGUUACAAAAGGUUUUGAAGACCAUCUGACGAAUGAAGACCUGGGGAAUGCACAGAAUGGCUUCACUGAAGCUCCCUGAGCAGAUCCACUCCUGCAACAUACCACGAGUCCUGACUGUAGGAAAAGCAUCAUGCUAGGUAUGCGGAUGAACAGAAGACCAUAAAAGUCAGGGCCAUAUGCUUGGGACAUGUGAAGGUCGACAUGUAGAAGGAACAAAAGGAACUGACCCAGCGCAGAGUGGGAGGACUGAAAUAACGAAGCAUGUAGUUUACAGAAGAGAAGGAGCAAGCAAUUCUGAUACAAACAAGGGAAAUGAAGCCCAAAAGAGUUUUCUACCCAAGGAUGGAUAAGAAAUGACCCUAGAGGCCUUCUACUGCAGUGAUAAUAGCUGCCCCCUUUAAUCUUUCCAUCAAUAUUUGGAAAACUUCAUUUUCAAGCUCACAACCAAGUAUCCUUCCACACCCAACCAACAGCACCAAGAAUAUAUUGUGGGAAAAUGCUGGCUUGUCCUAGUUCAGUGACAGAGGAGAAAUUUGUCAUUAUUUAGAAGGCAUCAGAUUCAGCAGAGGCAGACAUGAGUCUACCUGGAACCAGAUCCCAACUUUAGCCACUAGCUAUGAGACCUUGGGCAAGGUCCUUAGCCUCUCUUAAGUCUUGGCUUCCUUCUCUAUAUAAUCAGAAUUAUCAUGAUAGGAAAACUAAUAGCAUCAGCCUAAGAAGGUUAUUGAGAGGAUUAAAUGAAGAUAGUGUUCUGCUUACCACAGUGCUUGGCACUAAUGAACACUAUAACUAAGAGCUUUUGCAAGCUAGGUCUUUGUAUUUCCAAACUUCCCCACAUCUACUGGCUUAUAAAUUAGUCCCUCCCCGCUCAAUCCCUUGAGGAAGGCAACAACAUACUAUUAUUUUUGUCCUAACCCAACACUGUAUGUUGCAGGCACAGGGCAUGCUCAUGAAGGUUUGUUGAGUGAAUGUAUUCAGUAAAUGGUGUUUCAUUAACAAAGAAGAGUUUUUCAGGUGAAUGAUGGGAAUCAGACAGCCACAACUGCCUGGUUUCAAACAGACUCUUAGGUAGCUAACAAGGGGUGAAUCUGACAAUAAAAGUUCUUAAAUUCCUUUCAUACAUGCAGCCACCCUUCUUAUUCCCCAUGGUUAUUUCUUUCUUCCCUCGAAAGUCAGUAGAAUGAGACCAGGCAGUACCCUAUAUUUUUCUCUCCCAGAUCUUGUAAGUUUAAAUUGUAAACGGUCAUUCUUACGGUUUCCCAUUUUCUUCUAUCUCCUUCAGUAAUUUAGGCCUUGACCUUGACUUUAAGUAGAGACCAGCACAUUAGCUGUCCUAAGAGCUGAUUGAAGUCGCAGGCACUCAGAAGGGAUGUAUCAGGAACUGCUAGGGGUACAGGAGCUGCUAAGGCGAGGUUGUUAGUUCCAGCCCCGAUGUAACCAGCACUUUCAGUGCCAAGGAAGAAGAUUCUUACAGGCUGUAUUGUGUCCCUCAAAAUUCAUAGGUUCAAGUUCUAACCCCCAAUACCUAUGAAUCUGACAUUUGGAAAUAGUAUCUUUAAAUUGGUUAUGAAUUU